Molecule: ribosomal RNA, 439 nt
Filed under: uncultured bacterium
Lineage: Bacteria
Description: partial 16S ribosomal RNA
Rfam family: Bacterial small subunit ribosomal RNA
Source: RNAcentral
CUACGGGUUGCUCCAGUGAGGAAUAUUGCACAAUGGGGGGAACCCUGAUGCAGCAACGCCGCGUGGAGGAUGACGCAUUUCGGUGUGUAAACUCCUUUUAUAUGUCAAGAAAAUGACGGUAGCAUAUGAAUAAGCACCGGCUAACUCCGUGCCAGCAGCCGCGGUAAUACGGAGGGUGCAAGCGUUACUCGGAAUCACUGGGCGUAAAGGACGCGUAGGCGGGCUUGUAAGUCAGGUGUGAAAUCCUACAGCUUAACUGUAGAACUGCACUUGAAACUACGAGCCUAGAGUAUGGGAGGGGGAGAUGGAAUUAGUGGUGUAGGGGUAAAAUCCGUAGAUAUCACUAGGAAUACCUAAAGCGAAGGCGAUCUCCUGGAACAUAACUGACGCUAAGGCGUGAAAGCGUGGGGAGCAAACAGGAUUAGAUACCCCUAUAGUC